AUUGAGCGCUGGCGGCAGGCUUAACACAUGCAAGUCGAGCGGGGGAAGGUAGCUUGCUACCGGACCUAGCGGCGGACGGGUGAGUAAUGCUUAGGAAUCUGCCUAUUAGUGGGGGACAACAUCUCGAAAGGGAUGCUAAUACCGCAUACGUCCUACGGGAGAAAGCAGGGGAUCUUCGGACCUUGCGCUAAUAGAUGAGCCUAAGUCGGAUUAGCUCGUUGGUGGGGUAAAGGCCUACCAAGGCGACGAUCUGUAGCGGGUCUGAGAGGAUGAACCGCCAAACUGGGACUGGGACACGGCCCAGACUCCUACGGGAGGCAGCAGUGGGGAAUAUUGGACAAUGGGGGGAACCCUGAUCCAGCCAUGCCGCGUGUGUGAAGAAGGCCUUAUGGUUGUAAAGCACUUUAAGCGAGGAGGAGGCUACUCUAGGUAAUACCUAGGGAUAGUGGACGUUACUCGCAGAAUAAGCACCGGCUAACUCUGUGCCAGCAGCCGCCGUAA
Molecule: ribosomal RNA, 501 nt
Filed under: uncultured bacterium
Lineage: Bacteria
Description: partial 16S ribosomal RNA
Rfam family: Bacterial small subunit ribosomal RNA
Source: RNAcentral